AGAGCAUACGGUGGAUGCCUUGGCGAUAUCUGCCGACGAAGGACGUGACAAGCUGCGAAAAGCUGCGGAGAGAUGCAAAUAAUCGGCGACCCGCAGACAUCCGAAUGGAGCAAUCCGGCUGUGAUGAUGCACAGCCAUCCAUGCCCAAGAGCAUGAGAAGGGAACCGGGCGAACUGAAACAUCUAAGUAACCCGAGGAAAAGAAAUCAAACGAGAUACCCCAAGUAGCGGCGAGCGAACAGGGAAGAAGCCCAAACCGGUGAAGGAAACUUUACCGGGGUUGAGGACCAUCAGACCCGCGAAGAACCUUAGCCGAAACUGUUGGGAAACAGUGCCAAAGACAGUGAAAGCCUGGUAGGCGAAAAAGAGAAACGCGGAGAUGGCACCAGAGUACCGCGGGACACGAGAAAUCCCGUGGGAAGCCGGGGGGACCACCCUCCAAGGCAAAACACAGAUAUCGACCGAUAGCGCAUAGUACCAUGAGGGAAAGGUGAAAAGCACCCCGGGAGGGGAAUGAAAGAGAACCUGAAACCGUAUGUUUACAAGCAGUCGGAGACCGCUUAAUAAUAAGGUCGACGGCGUGCCUAUUGAAGAAUGAACCGGCGAGUUACGAAGCCUGGCAAGGUUAAGCAGGAAAUGCGGAGCCGAAGCGAAAGCGAGUCUUAAGAGGGCGCAAGUCAGGAAGCGUAGACCCGAAACCACAGUGAUCUACCCAUGUCCAGGUUGAAACACAGGUAAAAAUGUGUGGAGGACCGAACCUAUAUCCGUUGAAAAGGGUUAGGAUGAGGUGUGGGUAGGGGUGAAAUUCCAAUCGAACGUGGAGAUAGCUGGUUCUCCCCGAAAUAGCUUUAGGGCUAGCCUCAGGGAAAAGAUUGCAGGCGGUAGAGCACUGAUCAGGAGAGGGACCUACCCGGUUACCAAACCCAGUCAAACUCCGAAUGGCUGCAAUCAUACCUGGGAGUCAGACUGCGACUAAUAAGGGCCGUAGUCAAAAGGGAAACAGCCCAGACCAUCAGCUAAGGUCCCCAAUGCCGUGCUAAGUGGCGAAGGAUGUGGCAUUUCAUAAACAACCAGGAUGUUGGCUCAGAAGCAGCCACCAUUUAAAGAGUGCGUAAUAGCUCACUGGUCGAGAGACGCUGCGCCGAAAAUGUCCGGGGCUCAAGCACGGAACCGAAGCUAUGGCAUGAUAGCAAUAUCAUGGGUAGGGGAGCGUUCUUAUAAGGAAGAAGCAUGACCGGAAGGACAUGUGGACAAAUAAGAAGUGAGAAUGCCGGUAUGAGUAUCGAAAAGAAAGGUGAGAAUCCUUUCCACCGAAAGCCCGAGGGUUCCUGAGCAACGAUCGUCGACUCAGGGUAAGUCGGGACCUAAGCCGAGGCGAGAAGCGUAGGCGAUGGACAACAGGUUGAAAUUCCUGUACCGGAUCAAGUCGAUCGAGCGAAGGAGCGACGCAGGAGGGCACAUGAUCGCGCGGCUGGAAGAGCGCGUCCAAGUGCGUAUGUUGCAGCAGAGGAAAACCCCUGCAGCUAAAAGCAGAGACAUGAUGGGGAGUUAAAGGAAACUUUGACGAACUCAUGGAUCCCACACUGCCAAGAAAAACUUCUAGCGAGACAAGAUCCGCCCGUACCGUAAACCGACACAGGUAGGCGGGGAGAGAAUCCUAAGGUGCGCGGGAAAACCCUCGUUAAGGAACUCGGCAAAUUGCAUCCGUAACCUAGGGAGAAGGAUGGCCCCCGGUCAGUGAAGAGCAGAAACGCUCAGAGCUAAAAGGGGCGGCAGAAAAGAGGCCCAAGCAACUGUUUACCAAAAACACAGGUGCCUGCGAAAGCGAAAGCUGAAGUAUAGGUGCUGACGCCUGCCCGGUGCCGGAAGGUUAAGGAGAGAAGUUAGCGAAAGCGAAGCAUCGAACUGAAGCCCCGGUGAACGGCGGCCGUAACUAUAACGGUCCUAAGGUAGCGAAAUUCCUUGUCGGGUAAGUUCCGACCCGCAUGAAAGGCGUAAUGAUUUGGGCACUGUCUCAACGAGGGGCCCGGUGAAAUUGAAAUACCUGUGAAGAUGCAGGUUACCCGCGACUGGACAGAAAGACCCCAUGGAGCUUCACUGCAGCUUGAGAUUGAAUCCCGGUGACAGAUGCACAGGAUAGGUGGGAGGCGCCGAAGCAUUGCCCUAGGGCGGUGCGGAGCCGAUGUUGGGAUACCACCCUUCUGUUGCUGAGAUUCUAACGCGAGGAGUAACGACCCUGCGGACCCUCUCAGGCAGGCGGUUUGACUGGGGCGGUCGCCUCCGAAAGA
This 2287-nucleotide ribosomal RNA is filed under the name human gut metagenome. RNAcentral describes it as "bacterial LSU rRNA". It matches the Rfam family "Bacterial large subunit ribosomal RNA", at positions 14 to 2296 of the family's 2925-position model. The record is from RNAcentral.